Molecule: microRNA precursor, 63 nt
Filed under: Drosophila erecta
Lineage: Eukaryota; Metazoa; Arthropoda; Insecta; Diptera; Drosophilidae
Description: microRNA der-mir-974 precursor
Gene: der-mir-974
Source: miRBase by way of RNAcentral
AAGCGAGCAAAGAAGUAGUAUUUGUGUUCCAAAAGUCAAAUAUAACUUUUUUGGAAGCUACGG